AUGCAAGACUACUUCACGGAGGUACCUACAUACCCUCCUUGUCUUUUCCGUAGAAGGUACCGAAUGCGUCGUAGUUUGUUUGUGAAGAUUGUCACCGAUUGUGAGGCCGCCUCCUAUUACUUUAAACGUCGUAGAUCCGCCGCCGGUAUCAUGGGUUUUAGUGCAUAUCAAAAGAUAUCGGCGGCAAUGCGGGUACUCGCUUAUGGCAUACCUGCGGAUUAUACCAACGAGUAUCUUCGCAUUGGGAAAAAUACAACCACGGAGUCCGUCCGUAGGUUUGCCAAGUUGGUCAUCCGGUUGUAUGGUGAGCAGUAUCUUCGGGCACCAAAUGAGGAAGAUACAAAGAGAUUAAUGGAAAUGAAUGAAAAAAGGGGAUGGCCGGAGAUGCUUGGUAGUCUUGAUUGCAUGCAUUGGAGGUGGAAAAUUUGCCCAAAGGCAUGGCACGGAAUGUAUUGCGGUAAAUGCCGUGAUGCUACCAUUGUGUUUGAGGCUGUAGCAUCAGAGGACACAUGGAUUUGGCAUGCAUUCUUUGGUUGCCGGGAACACUCAAUGAUAUCAAUGUCCUCAAUAGAUCUCCUUUGUUCAAAAGAUUAA
RNAcentral lists this ribosomal RNA (594 nucleotides) under Triticum aestivum (bread wheat). RNAcentral's name for it is "partial small subunit ribosomal RNA". The record is from RNAcentral. Lineage: Eukaryota; Viridiplantae; Streptophyta; Magnoliopsida; Poales; Poaceae.